Molecule: ribosomal RNA, 509 nt
Filed under: uncultured Glomus
Lineage: Eukaryota; Fungi; Glomeromycota; Glomeromycetes; Glomerales; Glomeraceae
Description: SSU rRNA
Rfam family: Eukaryotic small subunit ribosomal RNA
Source: RNAcentral
AGCAGCCGCGGUAAUUCCAGCUCCAAUAGCGUAUAUUAAAGUUGCUGCAGUUAAAAAGCUCGUAGUUGAAUUUCGGGAUCAAUAUGUUGGUCGUGCCUUGGUACGUACUAGCUUAUUGGUUUCUCCCUUCUGACGAACCAUGAUGUCAUUAAUUUGGUGUUGUGGGGAAUCAGGACUGUUACUUUGAAAAAAUUAGAGUGUUUAAAGCAGGCUCACGCUUGAAUACAUUAGCAUGGAAUAAUGAAAUAGGACGUUUGAUUCUAUUUUGUUGGUUUCUAGGAUCGACGUAAUGAUUAAUAGGGAUAGUUGGGGGCAUUAGUAUUCAAUUGUCAGAGGUGAAAUUCUUGGAUUUAUUGAAGACUAACUACUGCGAAAGCAUUUGCCAAGGAUGUUUUCAUUAAUCAAGAACGAAAGUUAGGGGAUCGAAGACGAUCAGAUACCGUCGUAGUCUUAACCAUAAACCUAUGCCGACUAGGGAUCGGAUGAUGUUAAUUUUUAAUGACUCAUUC